AACGGAUGCGCCUCUUCCCGAUGGAUUCUGGGAAUCAGAGUUCGUUCCUGAAAAUGCGCAGGCGCAGUUCCAGGACUGUAGGGAUGUUUGCCUGUCAUUUUUUUUUGCAGCGGUUUUGGCUUCUCAAGACUUUGACCAAAAAGUGAGAAUCAAAGUGGCAAGAGAAUGGCUUCUGGGUGCCUAACAGCCUUGUCUCAUGUAAGUUAUUUUGUUCUGUCCCUCCUGAGAAGUAGUUUCAUUCCUAAAAGUAUGGACACAUUCCAUUCACUUUAACUCCUUCUUCUUCCAACAAAUCAUACUCAGGGACUUAAACAUCAAUUGUUUUUUCUUAGAAGACUUUGCUUCUUCUUAUGUCUGAUGCAGGGCUCCUAAAGUUCAUAUCUUUUUAAAAUUUAUUUUCUUUUUUUUUAAUCAACAAUUGAAUUUUUGAAUUCAAUAUUGAAACAAUUUGAAUUUAAAAACUGAAACAAUGUUUUCAAUUUUUUUUUCAAUCAACAAAAAUCUUUUCUCUCCCUCCCACUUUCACCUUCUGUUCCCCCUCCCCAUACUAUAGAAAAAGAAAAACAAGUCUUGUAAGAAACAUGCAUAGUCAAGCAAAACAAAUAACUGUAUUGUCCAGGUCCAACAAUUUGAGUCUCAUUUUGCAUAUUUAGUCCUUCACCUCUCUCUGAGGAGAUGGACAGCAUUCUUUAUCAUUAAUCCUCUGGAAUCAUGUUUAAGGUUGGAAUGUGUCUUAAGAAUCAUGUGGACAAAUAUGAUAUAUGAGUUAUAUGAGAUACAGAGAAGUGAUGUGUCUCAUUUAAACAAGCACUAAACAUUUAUUAAGUACCUAUUAUAUGCCAGGCAUUGUGCUAGGUGAACAAAAAGAGACAAAAGAUGAAGUCUUUGGUUUCAAGGAGCUCACAAUCUGGUGGGGGGGGAGAGGAUGACAACAAGCAAAUAACAAGCUGUAUUACAGUAUAAAUAGGAGAUAAUUAAAAUGGAAGACACUAGAAUCAAGAAGGGUUGGGGAAGGCUUCCAGUAGAAGGUAGAAUCUUAGGUGGGACUUAUUAAAGAAAGCCAGAAAGAUCAGUAGUUGGAGCAAGGAGAAAGAAUUCCAAACAUGGGGGACAGCCAGAGAAA
Molecule: long non-coding RNA, 1123 nt
Filed under: Phascolarctos cinereus (koala)
Lineage: Eukaryota; Metazoa; Chordata; Mammalia; Diprotodontia; Phascolarctidae
Description: lncRNA (ENSPCIG00000034390.1)
Source: RNAcentral